Cryptomeria japonica (Japanese cedar) is the source of this 2626-nucleotide long non-coding RNA. RefSeq lists it as uncharacterized. NCBI's taxonomy places the organism in Eukaryota, Viridiplantae, Streptophyta, Pinopsida, Cupressales, Cupressaceae. The transcript has 6 exons. The record is from RefSeq and is a predicted model, not a curated record.
AGUUAAAAGGGGGUUGAAGACCAAGUUUUUUUGAGAUCAAGAAUAAAAGUUUUGUUGGUUUUAAGAAUGGAUAUGAAAAGACUAUGUUUUUAUUGUCAGAGCAAUUUUGGAGAAAUAGGGAAGAGGAGUAGGCGGGUAGUGAGAAAAUGGGUAAGAAAGGCAAUGGAAGAGUGUAGGAGAAGAAUAUUGAUGUAGGGGAAGAGAGAGAAGAGGUGCGCUAUAUCUUUGAUCAUUGAAAGCUACUUUUGUCACUCAAAAUUCGCAGGAUCAUUGUAAGCUACUUUUGUAUUACGAUCUCUUUUCUGUAAGCUGUUGAUCAUAAUGAGGUGUGCUAUAUCUUUGAUUUAUUUCUAUUCGCUGCCCCUUUAACUUUUCAGCCUGACUGACCGAACCCACUUAUAGCAACAAAAUGAGCGAUUUUUCAACGAGUAUCGUUCCCAAUAACAAAAUUUCAAGUGCUGGUAGUCGCAAAUCUUCUUCUACCACUGGCCUUUCUAGGUUUUCCCUGAAUCUGCUUAUACGUUACAUUGAGAAUGUUUUGUCUGCUAUCACCAACCAGGGUUUGGAGUGCACAAAAAUGGGCGGUGGAACACAGCUAAGGGGUUUCGUGCAGCCUGUUACCUCAGAUUUUUCUAAGUUGUUUGAAGGCAUUUCAGAGGGGGCAAAAAUGUUUUCGGAUCAGUGGGGCUUUUGGCGAUAGCUAAUGUUUUAGAACGAUUCGACAACAUUUCUGCAAAUGACAGAAAUUGCAUCGACCUUCUCAAAGAUAUGGUUAAGCUAGGUAAAUAUCUGAAGCUAAUGAAAGAUCUCAAUGUUAAAUUCCACAAAGAGGUUUUGGACGAUAUGCGUGAAGCUGUUCAAUUGAUACUUUCUGGUGCGAUUUUAUGUCGUUCCUCUAUCACAUCGAAUAAAUUAUCCAACUAAGUCAUCAACAAGGUAUUUGUUUCCAUGCAUUCGCUGAUAAAUUUAUCUGCCCAAAAGAUACAGAGCAUUGUUCUGUUGUGUUGACUUCCUAAAAUGCCAAGAUAAUAGUAAUGAGGUCAAUGGGUAUAAACAACUGAAAAUUCCAAUAUGUAUCUCUUUCCAGCUGGGUAAAUUUCUUAGAAAAAGAAUUCAAACUAUGCUUGGAUCGCGGUCAAAAUUUUCCCUUCGUCUAGAAUUACAAAUGAUUGUGAAAGGAGAUGCAAUUAUCUCAAAUUGAAUUCAAAUUCGACAAAUUGCACAAGGCAACAAAAGGGUUUAGUCAAAUAAUAGGAGAAGGAACUUUUGGGUCUAUAUACAGCAGGGAAACCUGUUUGAUGGAAGAUGAGUGGCAGUGAAGGUCACAGCAAUUAAUAGCCUAAUAGGGGUGAUUGCGAAAUCGACUGGAUGAACGAGCUAAAAAAGCUACAACAUCGAAACAUCGUAGAGCUCAUGGGAUAUUGCUUUGACAAUAUAAUGUUAGUCUAUGAUUAUAAGCGAUGAGACCUGGACAGAAUUAUUCUUGAAGAAGAUGAGAUGAUUAUUGACUGGCCAACCAGACACAAGAUUAUAUUGGACAUGAUAAGGGGACUAUGUUCACAAGGUUGCAGAUGUCUAUAUGGUGCACAGAGACAUCAAACCCUCCAACAUUCUCUUUUGGAUGAGAAUUCGAAUGUCAAGCUUUUUGAUUUUGGAAUCUCUCAAAUACUGCAGUCGAGUAAUGCUCAAUAUGCCAACAAGGAUAUAAGUAUUGAAACGUCUUUUGCUGGAACACUGUAAGAUCGCCUAUCAUCUAGAACUUAAUAACAAUGAAAAAGGUUAUUGCAUGUGGUCGGGAAAUUCUUGGGGAAAAGUAGACUUUUUAUUUUGAGCAACUGAUCAAUGUAUGUUACUUCUUGUUUGGCCCUGCAAAGGUUACAUAGAUCCCGACUACGAGAAAACUUCUCGUUUGACUUUGAAGUAAGACAUUUACAGCUUUGGAAUGCUGCUGUUAAAUGUUGUAUCUGGCAAACGACAUAUUGUUGUAGAGCCCGAUAUCUUCUUUCUCAUCAAAGAAGCAUGGAGGUUACAUGAAGAAGAUCGCCUUACUAGCGAUGCUGUCAUCAGAAGAGGAGAUUCCAAAACCCAGACUAGAUCAAUCAUUUUACGAAUACUACUCUAAAGAUCAGAUUUCUCCUUGCAUAUCACCUGCAAAAUCUUGUGUUGCUAAAUCCUCUGUUGCUGAUGAGUACCAUUCCUCAGAGCAAGAGAUUCCCAUCUCUACCUCACCAGUUUUUGGUGACAAUUUCUUAGAAGAGGAGUUUUUCAGUUCCAUCAUAACACUUGAGCUCUCUAGUGCUGAUUGUAAUUUGUCACAAGAGGAGAAUUGGAUACCUACCUUUUCUCCCAUACUCUCUAGUGCUGAUUAUAAUUUUUCACAGGAAGAGAAUUGGAUGCCUACCCCACAAAUUAAAUCUUUUGUUGCUGAUGACCACUACUGAGAAGCGGAGAUUCCCACUCCCACCUCACUGCUUGAAUCCUCAGAAGAGGAGAUUCUCAUUGCCUCCCCACAAGUUAAAUCCUCUGUUGCUUAUGACAAUUCCCUAGUUCAGAAAAUUGAAGAAUCAGAUAGGAAAUGGUCAGGUGCAUCUCUUAAAACAUUAAGAAUACUGUGUGUAUUUUCACU